This is a long non-coding RNA of Neofelis nebulosa (Clouded leopard), 1690 nucleotides long. RefSeq lists it as uncharacterized. The transcript has 2 exons. NCBI's taxonomy places the organism in Eukaryota, Metazoa, Chordata, Mammalia, Carnivora, Felidae. The record is from RefSeq and is a predicted model, not a curated record.
CCCGUCCCCAUGGUUGUCUGACACCGUCCUGCAGGGAUGGGUAUAGCAAGGCACCUAUUCAGGGAGAACCAAGCUCCCACCGUCAGACCAGAGGAGGCUGAAGUAACAGGAGCUGCAGUUUUCAAGAAAACCUGCCUGUUCAAAGGAGCUCUGACCUUCAUGCUGCCCUUGCUGGGUACAGACUCGGAGCCCCACCAUCUCCUCCGUGCUCAGGUCCUGCCGGGACGGCAGACCCGCGGCCUCAGACCCAACUGUGAUUUCCCUGCCAGAUCACUUGCCUCAGCCUGCAGACUUAGUGCCAGGUGAUUUGGGGCUCCCGUCACAUCUCACAUCUGUCACGCAAGGACGUAUUUCUCACCACGGUGACACUUCCAAAAGAUGUGUCCAGCCCGGGCAUCCGUGCCAGCCACGUUCUGAGCAGCUGCUCCAAGGAUGUGGUGAAGCUUACCUAUACAUACGACUCCUGAAAUACCCGAGAAGAGUGAAAAUGACACAAAACAGGUGAGGGACUGGAAUAAGACUAAACCACGCCGUCUCCUCCUACAGAUAAGCUGCAGCUCACAGCCUACACCUGCCACCGCAAACAGGGAGCAGACACAGAGGUGAUGUCCAGAGGACGUGGGGUGGCCAGGAGCGCAGGAUCUAGGGCCGUGUUUCCUGCCGGGCAAUCCUCACACCACCUGGAGCAGGCCACCCUGAGUUGGGAGGCCGACUCUGGGGGUAGGUCUUGAGUGGUGGCCAGGAGUCUGCGUUAGCAUGCAAGUCUGUUGUUUCUGAUGAAGUCUGAGGAGCUUUGGGGAGGAGCGCCAGUGUGUCAGCUUUAAGCAAACUGAAUUAUAUGUGCCCCAAACCAGAUUCCCCAUCCGUGUGGCUUUCCACGAUUGGCCUGGGGCUUGUCCCUCCUCUUCUUGCCCGGUUCCUGCUGCCACCAGGCGGUUCCCCUCCUCCUCCUUUUCUGUCUCUGCUGCCUGUGGUUCUGUGCCCUCCUCACCUCAUCUAGCUAUUCAUUCCAGUGGUCCUGAGGCAGCAGAUGAGGCCAGAGGUGAGGGGGGCUCCUAAAUGGACAUCUUCUCUGGAUUCUCUUGCUCCUUCCCCAACCUCAGCUCCACCCACCACCCUCCUAGAGCUCGCACUCUGGGCUUCAUGAGCCUCUAGCAGCAGCUUGGAGCUGGGAGUGAAGAGUGUAGGGGAAACAGAGGCUGAUGCGUGGUCUGGACAGGUAGAUGCAUCAAGUGCAGUUCAGGGUCUUGAGGCCCUCCUGAUGGGGAAGCCACUAGGAGCCAUAAUGCUGGGUCCUGCGCCCUCCCUUGUGGUCUACUUUUAUCGAUGACUCGGAUGAAGUUCUGGAUAGCACAGAGCUACAUCAUGGAAGGGAAACAGAGAGAGAGAGUCGCUGAGUCAACAGCAGAAGGGCAUGCCCACGGCGCCCGGGAAUAUUUUCCAACAGAAUCAUUGUUGUCCAGAUGAUGAGGGCAUUUCCCCAGGGUCCUUGUGGGUCAAGAACAUCAUGGCCUGGAUGGUGUCUUAUGGACUGCUUUUCAUUUAUAUCCCUUGCAAACUGAAGUUUCUUCUUCUGAACUUGGAAACAAUAACCCCCAAAUAUUUCACAUGCUAUUUCACAGACUGAAUGAAAUAAUGAAUCUGAAUGUACUUUGUAAGUGAAAACAUAUUACACAAAUGCAAAUUGGUA